GAAAUGCGAUAAGUAAUGUGAAUUGCAGAAUUCAGUGAAUCAUCGAAUCUUUGAACGCACAUUGCGCCCCUUGGUAUUCCGAGGGGCAUGCCUGUUCGAGCGUCAUUAUAACCAAUCUAGCUAUGCUAGGUGUUGGGCUCCGCCGUUCGGUGGGCCUCAAAGCAAGUGGCGGUGCCGUAGGGCUCUAAGCGUAGUAAAUCUCUCGCUAUUGGGUUCCCGCGGUAACUAGCCAGUAACCCCCAUACUUUUCAGGUUGACCUCGGAUCAGGUAGGGAUACCCGCUGAACUUAA
RNAcentral lists this unclassified non-coding RNA (291 nucleotides) under uncultured Leotiomycetes. RNAcentral describes it as "sequence contains ITS1". The stretch from base 1 to 105 matches the Rfam family "5.8S ribosomal RNA", at positions 50 to 154 of the family's 154-position model. Lineage: Eukaryota; Fungi; Ascomycota; Leotiomycetes. The record is from RNAcentral.